Molecule: ribosomal RNA, 374 nt
Filed under: uncultured bacterium
Lineage: Bacteria
Description: bacterial SSU rRNA
Rfam family: Bacterial small subunit ribosomal RNA
Source: RNAcentral
UACAGAGGGUGCGAGCGUUAAUCGGAUUUACUGGGCGUAAAGGGCGCGUAGGCGGUGAGAUGUGUGUGAUGUGAAAGCCCCGGGCUUAACCUGGGAAGUGCAUUGCAAACUGUCUGACUGGAGUAUAUGAGAGGGUGGCGGAAUUUCCGGUGUAGCGGUGAAAUGCGUAGAUAUCGGAAGGAACGUCAAUGGCGAAGGCAGCCACCUGGCAUAAUACUGACGCUGAGGCGCGAAAGCGUGGGGAUCGAACAGGAUUAGAUACCCUGGUAGUCCACGCUGUAAACGAUGAGUACUAGAUGUUGGUAGGGGAACCUAUCAGUAUCGAAGCUAACGCGAUAAGUAUUCCGCCUGGGAAGUACGGCCGCAAGGUUGAA